Non-coding RNA from Plectosphaerella cucumerina, 110 nucleotides. NCBI's taxonomy places the organism in Eukaryota, Fungi, Ascomycota, Sordariomycetes, Glomerellales, Plectosphaerellaceae. The record is from the annotation of a GenBank genome assembly.
GGCGAGAUGGCCGAGCGGUCUAAGGCGCUAGUUUCAGGAGGUCGAUUCUUCGGAAUCAACAGUCAAAUUACUAGUCAGAAAUGGCAUGGGUUCGAAUCCCAUUCUCGUCA